This 476-nucleotide ribosomal RNA is filed under the name uncultured bacterium. RNAcentral describes it as "partial 16S ribosomal RNA". It matches the Rfam family "Bacterial small subunit ribosomal RNA", at positions 30 to 507 of the family's 1533-position model. The record is from RNAcentral.
UUGCACGCUGGCGGCAUGCCUUACCCAUGCCAGUCGAACGGUAACAGGUUAAGCUGACGAGUGGCGAACGGGUGAGUAAUGUAUCGGAACGUGCCCAGUCGUGGGGGAUAACUGCUCGAAAGAGCAGCUAAUACCGCAUACGACCUGAGGGUGAAAGCGGGGGAUCGCAAGACCUCGCGCGAUUGGAGCGGCCGAUAUCAGAUUAGGUAGUUGGUGAGGUAAAGGCUCACCAAGCCGACGAUCUGUAGCUGGUCUGAGAGGACGACCAGCCACACUGGGACUGAGACACGGCCCAGACUCCUACGGGAGGCAGCAGUGGGGAAUUUUGGACAAUGGGCGCAAGCCUGAUCCAGCCAUGCCGCGUGCGGGAAGAAGGCCUUCGGGUUGUAAACCGCUUUUGUCAGGGAAGAAAAGGUUCUGGCUAAUACCUGGGACUCAUGACGGUACCUGAAGAAUAAGCACCGGCUAACUACGUG